RNAcentral lists this transfer RNA (74 nucleotides) under Bacillota bacterium. RNAcentral describes it as "Firmicutes bacterium (gut metagenome) tRNA-Gln". It matches the Rfam family "tRNA". From Rfam's summary of the family: Transfer RNA (tRNA) molecules are approximately 80 nucleotides in length. Their secondary structure includes four short double-helical elements and three loops (D, anti-codon, and T loops). The record is from RNAcentral. RNAcentral also lists the same sequence under 1 other name. Lineage: Bacteria; Bacillati; Bacillota.
UGCCUGAUUGUGUAAGGGUAGCACAAGUGACUCUGACUCACUUUGUCUGGGUUCGAAUCCUAGUCAGGCAGCCA